GAUGAACGCUGGCGGCGUGCCUAAUACAUGCAAGUCGAGCGAACAGACGAGGCGCUUGCUCCUCGGACGUUAGCGGCGGACGGGUGAGUAACACGUGGAUAACCUACCUAUAAGACUGGGAUAACUUCGGGAAACCGGAGCAAAUACCGGAGAAUAUAUUGAACCGCAUGGUUCAAUGGAGAGAGACGGUGUUGCGGGCACUAAUAGAUGGAUCUGGGCUGCAUUAGCUAGUUGGUAAGGUAACGGCUUACCAAGGCAACGAUGCGUAGCCGACCUGAGAGGGUGAUCGGCCACACUGGAACUGAGACACGGUCCAGACUCCUACGGGAGGCAGCAGUAGGGAAUCUUCCGCAAUAGGCGAAAGCCUGACGGAGCAACGCCGCGUGAGUGAUGAAGGUCUUCGGAUCGUAAAACUCUGUUAUUAGGGAAGAACAAAUGUGUAAGUAACUAUGCACGUCUUGACGGUACCUAAUCAGAAAGCCACGGCUAACUACGUG
This 497-nucleotide ribosomal RNA is filed under the name uncultured bacterium. Its description in RNAcentral is "partial 16S ribosomal RNA". It matches the Rfam family "Bacterial small subunit ribosomal RNA", at positions 28 to 507 of the family's 1533-position model. The record is from RNAcentral.